AAAUAUCCUGCGUUGAUACAGAGAAGAUCGUAUUGCUAAUUGCACACGGGGUAAACUCGUGAGAGUUAUGUCUUAAGAACAACCAACGUGACUCCUGCUAAGGUUGGGUGUUACAGAGUUCAUCAGAAUUAUUCAAGUGACGCUCUGGCUGGUCAUCAGAACCCACGAUACCCUCACUCAGAUGUAUUUAAGACCAGUAGCUGCUGGCUGUGGUGGACACAUGGAUUGUGACACUGCUGAGGAGGAACUAGCUGAAGGUGCACCCCUGGGAGGACGCACUUCAUGCCAAAUAAGGGACACUGGAUAUGCUUUGUACAUCCAUCAUGAACGUUCUAACCACAGUUGUAUGAAAAUGGCAACUUUCCAGCCUAACUGAUUUUGUGAUUCUUCUCUUUUACUUUCAGUUGAAAUGCCUCAUCUGAACUGACUCUUUAUCAGCUAAGAGGAGUUUGCAGUUGCCGCUGUACAGAGCACUUUUCCAUUUGGCAUCCUUUUCAGUUGUGACUGUGUGAGAUCUGACAAAGAAUAUACAUUUCGCCAACCUUGUAAUCCAAGAUGCCUCCUUUCUAACCAAACAGGGAAUGGCUGGGUAAUUUAUUCAUUUUCUGAGCAAUGGGAAAAGCUGAGUACUAGGAAAAUAAUACUAGGAAAGGAAUAUUAGGAAUAGACAGCACAGAAUUGCUGAAUUACCAGUGAACAUUGAUACUUUUCUUUCCAAGAGAUCUAUAUCAUACUGUUUCAUUAGAGAACAUAAAUAAAAGCGAAGUGCCUCUUCCCCUAUGCA
Molecule: long non-coding RNA, 784 nt
Filed under: Phasianus colchicus (ring-necked pheasant)
Lineage: Eukaryota; Metazoa; Chordata; Aves; Galliformes; Phasianidae
Description: lncRNA (ENSPCLG00000002121.1)
Source: RNAcentral